CGACGGCUCCUCGGCCACUAGACCUGCCAGUGAUUAGACUGCCGGUGAGCUCCAGCAGACUUGCUGUUGGCAGGCCUUUCCACCACGCGCUUUCUGCCUCGGACCCCGCUGACCACGGACUGAACCCUCUGACACCGCAAGUCAAACCUCGCCUGCUGUGAGGGGCAGGUGUGGGGUAUUUCACCACAGACAGGAAGGUGACUAACACACCCGCCACGGGCUCCGCCUCGGAGUCUCCCCCAGGCUUCAGCCAGGCGAUGCCGCCCCUUCAUGGGGCUUCAGGCACAGCACUCCCUGUGAGUCACCUCUGAGAGAGGCAGGAGCUGCAGUUCCAUCUCUAGCAGCGGGAUGGGAAUCAUUAUACGCGUCUCACAGAUGCAGAAAUGAACUGACUCGGUCAGGCUCCCUAAAAACCUGAGGCAUAACCCCAGCUGUGCCGCCUCACCGCCAGGCCUCUGCCUCCUGGGAGCGGCGCACACGUGCGCCCAUGACCUCAGAGAGUCUGGCGGCCCGGGCUCAGGGUGAGGCAGGUGUGUCUCGCCUGAGCCACCCGCUGCUGCA
This is a long non-coding RNA of Chinchilla lanigera (long-tailed chinchilla), 561 nucleotides long. RefSeq lists it as uncharacterized. The transcript is spliced from 2 exons. The record is from RefSeq and is a predicted model, not a curated record. Lineage: Eukaryota; Metazoa; Chordata; Mammalia; Rodentia; Chinchillidae.